GAAAUGACUGCUAAUACCGCAUAUGCCUUGAGUAUCACAUGGUACAAAAGGGAAAGGAGCAAUCCGCUGAUAGAUGGGCUUGCGUCUGAUUAGAUAGUUGGUGAGGUAACGGCCCACCAAGUCGACGAUCAGUAGCCGGACUGAGAGGUUGAACGGCCACAUUGGGACUGAGAUACGGCCCAGACUCCUACGGGAGGCAGCAGUCGGGAAUAUUGCGCAAUGGGGGAAACUCUGACGCAGUGACGCCGCGUGCAGGAAGAAGGUUUUCGGAUUGUAAACUGCUUUAGACAGGGAAGAAACAAGACAGUACCUGUAGAAUAAGCUCCGGCUAACUACGUGCCAGCAGCCGCGGUAAUACGUAGGGAGCAAGCGUUAUCCGGAUUUAUUGGGUGUAAAGGGUGCGUAGACGGGAAAUUAAGUUAGUUGUGAAAUCCCUCGGCUUAACUGAGGAACUGCAACUAAAACUGGUUUUCUUGAGUGCUGGAGAGGAAAGUGGAAUUCCUAGUGUAGCGGUGAAAUGCGUAGAUAUUAGGAGGAACACCAGUGGCGAAGGCGACUUUCUGGACAGUAACUGACGUUGAGGCACGAAAGUGUGGGGAGCAAACAGGAUUAGAUACCCUGGUAGUCCACACCGUAAACGAUGGAUACGAGGUGUAGGGUGUGAUAAACAUUCUGUG
RNAcentral lists this ribosomal RNA (677 nucleotides) under uncultured bacterium. Its description in RNAcentral is "bacterial SSU rRNA". It matches the Rfam family "Bacterial small subunit ribosomal RNA", at positions 153 to 845 of the family's 1533-position model. The record is from RNAcentral.